Molecule: ribosomal RNA, 242 nt
Filed under: uncultured bacterium
Lineage: Bacteria
Description: partial 16S ribosomal RNA
Rfam family: Bacterial small subunit ribosomal RNA
Source: RNAcentral
GCAAGUCGAACGGUAACAGGAUAGCUUGCUAUCGCUGACGAGUGGCGGACGGGUGAGUAAUACUUAGGGAUCUGUCUUCGGGAGGGGGAUAACCAUUGGAAACGAUGGCUAAUACCGCAUAACGUCUACGGACCAAAGGAGGCUUCGGCUUCCACCUGAAGAGGAACCUAAGCGAGAUUAGCUUGUUGGUGAGGUAAAGGCUCACCAAGGCGACGAUCUCUAGCUGUUCUGAGAGGAAGAUC